This is a long non-coding RNA of Pogoniulus pusillus (Red-fronted tinkerbird), 1073 nucleotides long. RefSeq lists it as uncharacterized. The record is from RefSeq and is a predicted model, not a curated record. The transcript has 3 exons. NCBI's taxonomy places the organism in Eukaryota, Metazoa, Chordata, Aves, Piciformes, Lybiidae.
CCAACUGGGCAGAGGAAUCCUCCUCCUCCUGUCGUCACUGGCUGUCCUCUGCUGAAACCCUACCUCUGUCCUCAUGGCUUCUCCAGGAUGCAGAGCAGGGUCUGGCACUGCUGAGACUAGAAAGAAGCAGAUGGGAUACACAACAGCUGGAAUGAGAAAGGAGAUCUCCAGUCACACAAGUAGCAGACCUGCCCAGCCUUGGCACUGGAUCCCUGUGUUCAAACAGCCUUUAAACAUUGACUCUUGUUUUGCGUGCACGAGCAUCUCCCUGUGUGUGUGCACAGGGGAAUCGGGUGCAGACAGUCUGUUGGAUGGUCAGUGAGAGAAGCAAGCCUGAGUCUUCCUAAGCAUAGCCUGAGAUGGGUACCAGCUAUUGCUGUGCAAUUUGGCUGGAUGGCUCCAAGCCACCUUACUGCUCCAGCCAUCGUUGCCUGCUUGGAGGAGGGAGGUUGGAAAUUCACAGCUGGAGUGGAUGAAUCUACAGUUUGGGCAUCGGAGCUGAAGCAUCCUUGUGUUUUACAACAAUUGCUGAUCGAAACUCAAGUGCACUGAAUUCCACCUGCCACCCCCAGCAUCGCCUCUGCUCCUGACGCUGCCAGCACCCGAGCGCGCCGGAAUGAAAGCACUGGCGGAAGCGGUUCACCGUUCGGCCGCAACCUGCUGACCUUCCUCUCCCAAACCCCGGGGUGUGUUCCACUAAACGUCUGCUCUGCAGGCCACGGUGUAGGAUGACGUCACUGCGGUUCAAGUCGUCAAAAAGAGUUCUCUGUUUUCAGGUCCGUGCAGGACAGACACCCCUUGCCUGAGCUGCAGCUCCUCGCCACCUGUGGAGCCAGCCUGCUGCUUUAACACACAGAUGUCUGUAACUGCUGGCCGAAUUUCCAGCUGGGAUUUUCUCUCACAAAGCUUUUCAGAAGAGCUAGAUGGGCUGUUCACUUACAUGAGUUCCUACUCAGUGUUUCAUCUCUGCUCCUGGCCACAGAAUGUGUCCUAUGUCCACUGCCCCAGCUCUCUUGAACUUGCCUGUGGCUGCAAAACUUUUUUGCCUGAUUAAACUCCCCAGUCCCUUCCUC